RNAcentral lists this ribosomal RNA (250 nucleotides) under uncultured bacterium. RNAcentral describes it as "partial 16S ribosomal RNA". It matches the Rfam family "Bacterial small subunit ribosomal RNA", at positions 524 to 773 of the family's 1533-position model. The record is from RNAcentral.
UACAGAGGGCCCAAGCGUUAAUCGGAAUCACUGGGCUUAAAGGGUGCGUAGGCGGGCCUGCAAGUACUUUGUGAAAUACCAUGGCUUAACCAUGGAAUGGCUUGGUAGACUGCAGGUCUUGAGCCCGACAGAGGUCAUCGGAACUCUAGGUGGAGCGGUGAAAUGCGUAGAUAUCUAGAGGAACGCCAAAGGUGAAGACAGAUGACUGGGUCGGUGCUGACGCUCAGGCACGAAAGCGUGGGGAGCGAAC